CAAGGUUGAAUGAUGGUCUU
Molecule: non-coding RNA, 20 nt
Filed under: Arabidopsis thaliana (thale cress)
Lineage: Eukaryota; Viridiplantae; Streptophyta; Magnoliopsida; Brassicales; Brassicaceae
Source: RNAcentral